CCUACGGGCGGCAGCAGUGGGGAAUAUUGGACAAUGGGGGCAACCCUGAUCCAGCCAUGCCGCGUGUGUGAAGAAGGCCCUCGGGUUGUAAAGCACUUUCAGUGAGGAAGAACGCCUGGUGGUUAAUACCCAUCAGGAAAGACAUCACUCACAGAAGAAGCACCGGCUAACUCCGUGCCAGCAGCCGCGGUAAUACGGAGGGCGCGAGCGUUAAUCGGAAUUACUGGGCGUAAAGCGCGCGUAGGUGGCUUGAUAAGCCGGUUGUGAAAGCCCCGGGCUCAACCUGGGAACGGCAUCCGGAACUGUCAAGCUAGAGUGCAGGAGAGGAAGGUAGAAUUCCCGGUGUAGCGGUGAAAUGCGUAGAGAUCGGGAGGAAUACCAGUGGCGAAGGCGGCCUUCUGGACUGACACUGACACUGAGGUGCGAAAGCGUGGGUAGCAAACAGGAUUAGAUACCCUUGUAGUC
RNAcentral lists this ribosomal RNA (465 nucleotides) under Vreelandella stevensii. Its description in RNAcentral is "partial 16S ribosomal RNA". It matches the Rfam family "Bacterial small subunit ribosomal RNA", at positions 338 to 795 of the family's 1533-position model. The record is from RNAcentral. Lineage: Bacteria; Pseudomonadati; Pseudomonadota; Gammaproteobacteria; Oceanospirillales; Halomonadaceae.